UGUAAUCCUCUGUAACGCCUCUUUUCGAAUCGAAGCAGCUCUCAUACAAUCACCAAGCUUUGAUUCCAACGAAUAUGAUGGUGUUUUACCCUGAACAACAGAUUGUAUAAUCUCCUCGUCAUCUUCCGAUAAUGCGGGCAUAAUUAUUGGCGCAGGCUUCUCCGUUUGGGGCAAUUUUUCGAACAGGUGGUGGAGGCACAACGCAGCCAAGAGUAGUGGCAGCAGCACAUGGUGGCAUAAUUAUUGGCGAAGGCUUCUCCGUUUGGGACAAAGCUACCUUAGCAGGUUGCUGUGGAACCAUUGGGGCAAUUUUUCGAACAGGUGGUGGAGGCACAACGCAGCCAAGAGUAGUGGCAGCAGCACAUGGUCCACGGCGGCUAUCUUCCUCAAUAAUAAGCUGCUCAGCAUUCUCAUCCUCAAUAUCCCAUGAAUCACUAUUCGACCUGGACACAAACGACUGAACAAACCCAA
RNAcentral lists this long non-coding RNA (471 nucleotides) under Solanum tuberosum (potato). RNAcentral's name for it is "long non-coding RNA (STUB_LNC003109)". Lineage: Eukaryota; Viridiplantae; Streptophyta; Magnoliopsida; Solanales; Solanaceae. The record is from RNAcentral.